This 504-nucleotide ribosomal RNA is filed under the name bacterium enrichment culture clone ALO1_GLFRUDD03HB4YA. RNAcentral's name for it is "bacterial SSU rRNA". It matches the Rfam family "Bacterial small subunit ribosomal RNA", at positions 9 to 509 of the family's 1533-position model. The record is from RNAcentral.
GAGUUUGAUCAUGGCUCAGAUUGAACGCUGGCGGCAGGCCUAACACAUGCAAGUCGAGCGGAUGACGGGAGCUUGCUCCUUGAUUCAGCGGCGGACGGGUGAGUAAUGCCUAGGAAUCUGCCUGGUAGUGGGGGACAACGUUUCGAAAGGAACGCUAAUACCGCAUACGUCCUACGGGAGAAAGCAGGGGACCUUCGGGCCUUGCGCUAUCAGAUGAGCCUAGGUCGGAUUAGCUAGUUGGUGGGGUAAUGGCUCACCAAGGCGACGAUCCGUAACUGGUCUGAGAGGAUGAUCAGUCACACUGGAACUGAGACACGGUCCAGACUCCUACGGGAGGCAGCAGUGGGGAAUAUUGGACAAUGGGCGAAAGCCUGAUCCAGCCAUGCCGCGUGUGUGAAGAAGGUCUUCGGAUUGUAAAGCACUUUAAGUUGGGAGGAAGGGCAGUAAGUUAAUACCUUGCUGUUUGACGUUACCGACAGAAUAAGCACCGGCUAACUCUGUGCC